Molecule: small nuclear RNA, 78 nt
Filed under: Pelusios castaneus (West African mud turtle)
Lineage: Eukaryota; Metazoa; Chordata; Testudines; Pelomedusidae
Source: RNAcentral
UUGCUUCGGCAGCACAUAUACUAAAAUUGGAAUGAUAUAGAGAAGAUUAGCAUGGUCUCUACGCAAGGAUGACACACA